UUUGAUUAAGAAGGUGGCCAUUGAAACCACAAAAAGUAUUUGAAUGGGUUAUAUUUACCAAUUAAAAGUAUUUACAAAAAUAUGGUUAAAGUGGAUUAAAAGGUUCAAUUCAGAAUAAGUGUUAUGAAAAAUAAGUUUUGAAAAUCAAAAGCAUAAGGCUUAGGUUUCUAAUGUUGAAAACAAAAGUUAUUGUUUGCACAAAAAGUUUUGGCUUGGGUUAGAAUGGGGAGAAAAAAAAAGGGUUAAAUUCCUAAACAUACAAGAGAUAAGGGAAAAGAAAAUAAAACCACAUUAGGAGUUCCCCUCUUGAGAUCAUAUUGAUGAUCCAAGUAGCUCCCAUCCUUUGGAAUAAGCAGUCACAAAC
This 364-nucleotide long non-coding RNA is filed under the name Lathyrus oleraceus (garden pea). Its description in RNAcentral is "Pisum sativum (pea) long non-coding RNA (PSAT_LNC040799)". The record is from RNAcentral. Lineage: Eukaryota; Viridiplantae; Streptophyta; Magnoliopsida; Fabales; Fabaceae.